AGUGAACGCUGGCGGUAGGCCUAACACAUGCAAGUCGAACGGCAGCACAGUAAGAGCUUGCUCUUACGGGUGGCGAGUGGCGGACGGGUGAGGAAUACAUCGGAAUCUACUUUUUCGUGGGGGAUAACGUAGGGAAACUUACGCUAAUACCGCAUACGACCUACGGGUGAAAGCAGGGGAUCUUCGGACCUUGCGCGAUUGAAUGAGCCGAUGUCGGAUUAGCUAGUUGGCGGGGUAAAGGCCCACCAAGGCGACGAUCCGUAGCUGGUCUGAGAGGAUGAUCAGACACACUGGAAGUGAGACACGGUCCAGACUCCUACGGGAGGCAGAAGUGGGGAAUAUUGGACAAUGGGCGCAAGCCUGAUCAAGCCAUACCGCGUGGGUGAAGAAGGCCUUCGGGUUGUAAAGCCCUUUUGUUGGGAAAGAAAAGCAGCAGGUUAAUACCCCGCUGUUCUGACGGUACCCAAAGAAUAAGCACCGGCUAACUUCGUG
RNAcentral lists this ribosomal RNA (492 nucleotides) under uncultured bacterium. RNAcentral describes it as "partial 16S ribosomal RNA". It matches the Rfam family "Bacterial small subunit ribosomal RNA", at positions 29 to 507 of the family's 1533-position model. The record is from RNAcentral.